AUGGCUGGUGAAGAGUCCCACUAGAUUGAGACUCUUCGACCAAGAGUCCUAAUGCUUGAGGACUCUGAGUCCUAUGUGUCUGGGACUCUGUGAUCGAGAAUCAAGAUUCUCUGAUCAUGAGUUCCACACAUUUUGGGUAUCGGGGUCAAGAGUCCCACUAGUUUGGGACUCUUCGAUCAAGGUUUCAUAUCGAUGGACUUUGAUGCCCGAUUGCCCAUCGAAUUUGGACUCAGUAUUUAUGAGAGAUUUAAUUAGUGAUUUGAUUGCUAAUUAACUCAAUUUGAUUGAGUAAUUAUUUUUGGAUCAAGUCCAAUUGAAUUGGAUUCAGUUG
RNAcentral lists this long non-coding RNA (331 nucleotides) under Elaeis guineensis (African oil palm). RNAcentral describes it as "long non-coding RNA (EGUI_LNC074780)". Lineage: Eukaryota; Viridiplantae; Streptophyta; Magnoliopsida; Arecales; Arecaceae. The record is from RNAcentral.